Molecule: non-coding RNA, 109 nt
Organism: Venturia effusa
Lineage: Eukaryota; Fungi; Ascomycota; Dothideomycetes; Venturiales; Venturiaceae
Source: the annotation of a GenBank genome assembly
GGUGAGAUGGCCGAGCGGUCUAAGGCGCUAGACUCAAGCAUACUUCUGAGCGUAGCUCGGGUGUCUUCUAGUAUCGAAAGAUGCGGGGGUUCGAAUCCCCCUCUCAUCA